This 301-nucleotide ribosomal RNA is filed under the name uncultured bacterium. RNAcentral describes it as "partial 16S ribosomal RNA". It matches the Rfam family "Bacterial small subunit ribosomal RNA", at positions 509 to 807 of the family's 1533-position model. The record is from RNAcentral.
CAGCAGCCGCGGUAAUACGAAGGGUGCAAGCGUUAAUCGGAAUUACUGGGCGUAAAGCGUGCGCAGGCGGUUGUGUAAGACAGGUGUGAAAUCCCCGGGCUUAACCUGGGAACUGCGCUUGUGACUGCACAGCUAGAGUAUGGCAGAGGGGGGUGGAAUUCCACGUGUAGCAGUGAAAUGCGAAGAGAUGUGGAGGAACACCGAUGGCGAAGGCAGCCCCCUGGGCCAAUACUGACGCUCAUGCACGAAGGCGUGGGGAGCAAACAGGAUUAGAUACCCCCGUAGUCCCUGUCUCUUAUAC